Molecule: ribosomal RNA, 253 nt
Filed under: uncultured bacterium
Lineage: Bacteria
Description: partial 16S ribosomal RNA
Rfam family: Bacterial small subunit ribosomal RNA
Source: RNAcentral
UACGGAGGGGGCUAGCGUUGUUCGGAAUUACUGGGCGUAAAGCGCACGUAGGCGGCUUUGCAAGUUAGAGGUGAAAGCCCGGGGCUCAACUCCGGAAUUGCCUUUAAGACUGCAUCGCUAGAACGUCGGAGAGGUAAGUGGAAUUCCGAGUGUAGAGGUGAAAUUCGUAGAUAUUCGGAAGAACACCAGUGGCGAAGGCGACUUACUGGACGACCGUUGACACUGAGGUGCGAAAGCGUGGGGAGCAAACAGG